AUUGAACGCUGGCGGCAGGCCUAACACAUGCAAGUCGAGCGGAUGAAGGGAGCUUGCUCCUGGAUUCAGCGGCGGACGGGUGAGUAAUGCCUAGGAAUCUGCCUGGUAGUGGGGGAUAACGUCCGGAAACGGGCGCUAAUACCGCAUACGUCCUGAGGGAGAAAGUGGGGGAUCUUCGGACCUCACGCUAUCAGAUGAGCCUAGGUCGGAUUAGCUAGUUGGUGGGGUAAAGGCCUACCAAGGCGACGAUCCGUAACUGGUCUGAGAGGAUGAUCAGUCACACUGGAACUGAGACACGGUCCAGACUCCUACGGGAGGCAGCAGUAGGGAAUAUUGGACAAUGGGCGAAAGCCUGAUCCAGCCACGCCGCGUGUGUGAAGAAGGUCUUCGGAUUGUAAAGCACUUUAAGUUGGGAGGAAGGGCUGUAAGUUAAUACCUGGCUGUUUUGACGGUACCAACAGAAUAAGCACCGGCUAACUUCGUG
Molecule: ribosomal RNA, 484 nt
Filed under: uncultured bacterium
Lineage: Bacteria
Description: partial 16S ribosomal RNA
Rfam family: Bacterial small subunit ribosomal RNA
Source: RNAcentral